RNAcentral lists this ribosomal RNA (753 nucleotides) under uncultured Actinobaculum sp. RNAcentral's name for it is "bacterial SSU rRNA". It matches the Rfam family "Bacterial small subunit ribosomal RNA", at positions 28 to 776 of the family's 1533-position model. The record is from RNAcentral. Lineage: Bacteria; Bacillati; Actinomycetota; Actinomycetes; Actinomycetales; Actinomycetaceae.
GACGAACGCUGGCGGCGUGCUUAACACAUGCAAGUCGAACGAUGAAGCCUGUAACUUGUUGUGGGUGGAUUAGUGGCGAACGGGUGAGUAAUACGUGAGUAACCUGCCCUCCUUUUUGGGAUAAGCCUUGGAAACGGGGUCUAAUACCGGAUAUUCUGGCAUGCUCGCAUGGGUGUGUUGGGAAAGCUUUAUGUGAAGGGGGAUGGGCUCGCGGCCUAUCAGCUUGUUGGUGGGGUGAUGGCCUACCAAGGCGGUGACGGGUAGCCGGCCUGAGAGGGUGACCGGCCACAUUGGGACUGAGAUACGGCCCAGACUCCUACGGGAGGCAGCAGUGGGGGAUAUUGCACAAUGGGCGAAAGCCUGAUGCAGCGACGCCGCGUGGGGGAUGAAGGCUUUCGGGUUGUAAACCUCUUUCGCUAUCGAACAAGGCUCAUUUUUUGGUGGGUUGAGGGUAGGUGGAGAAGAAGCGCCGGCUAACUACGUGCCAGCAGCCGCGGUAAUACGUAGGGCGCGAGCGUUGUCCGGAAUUAUUGGGCGUAAAGGGCUUGUAGGCGGCUUGUUGCGCCUGCUGUGAAAACGCGGGGCUUAACUUCGCGCGUGCAGUGGGUACGGGCAGGCUUGAGUGUGGUAGGGGUGACUGGAAUUCCAGGUGUAGCGGUGGAAUGCGCAGAUAUCUGGAGGAACACCGAUGGCGAAGGCAGGUCACUGGGCCAUUACUGACGCUGAGGAGCGAAAGCAUGGGUAGCGAACAGG